GACGAACGCUGGCGGCGUGCUUAACACAUGCAAGUCGAACGAUGAAGCCGGAGCUUGCUCUGGUGAAUUAGUGGCGAACGGGUGAGUAACACGUGAGUAACCUGCCCUUGACUCUGGGAUAACUGCUAGAAAUGGUAGCUAAUACCGGAUACGACCCUCGGAGGCAUCUCCAGGGGGUGGAAAGAAUUUCGGUCAAGGAUGGACUCGCGGCCUAUCAGCUAGUUGGUGAGGUAAUGGCUCACCAAGGCGACGACGGGUAGCCGGCCUGAGAGGGUGACCGGCCACACUGGGACUGAGACACGGCCCAGACUCCUACGGGAGGCAGCAGUGGGGAAUAUUGCACAAUGGGCGCAAGCCUGAUGCAGCAACGCCGCGUGAGGGAUGACGGCCUUCGGGUUGUAAACCUCUUUUAGUAGGGAAGAAGCGAAAGUGGCGGUACCUGCAGAAAAAGCACCGGCUAACUACGUGCCAGCCGCCGCUGUAA
This 484-nucleotide ribosomal RNA is filed under the name uncultured bacterium. Its description in RNAcentral is "partial 16S ribosomal RNA". It matches the Rfam family "Bacterial small subunit ribosomal RNA", at positions 28 to 523 of the family's 1533-position model. The record is from RNAcentral.